RNAcentral lists this ribosomal RNA (497 nucleotides) under uncultured bacterium. RNAcentral describes it as "partial 16S ribosomal RNA". It matches the Rfam family "Bacterial small subunit ribosomal RNA", at positions 28 to 507 of the family's 1533-position model. The record is from RNAcentral.
GAUGAACGCUGGCGGCGUGCCUAAUACAUGCAAGUCGAGCGAACAGACGAGGAGCUUGCUCCUCUGACGUUAGCGGCGGACGGGUGAGUAACACGUGGAUAACCUACCUAUAAGACUGGGAUAACUUCGGGAAACCGGAGCUAAUACAGGAUAAUAUAUUCAACCGCAUGGUUCAAUAGUGAAAGACGGUUUUGCUGUGACUUAUAGAUGGUUACGCGCCGCAUUAGCUAGUUGGUAAGGUAACGGCUUACCAAGGCAACGAUGCGUAGCCGACCAGAGAGGGUGAGGGGCCCGGCUGGAACGGAGGCACGGCCAAGAGUCCUACGGGAGACGGCAGUAGCGAAUCUGGCGCAAAGGGGGAAAGCAUAACGGAGCAAGGGCGCGUGAGUGAUGAAGGUCUUCGGAGCGUAAAACUCUGGUAUUAGGGUAGAAAAAAUGUGUAAGUAACGAUGCAAAAAUUGACGGUACCUGAACAGAAAGCGACGGCUAAAUACGUG